AACUCGCUGUGAAGAUGCAGUGUACCCGCGGCAAGACGGAAAGACCCCGUGAACCUUUACUAUAGCUUGACACUGAACAUUGAGCCUUGAUGUGUAGGAUAGGUGGGAGGCUUUGAAGUGUGGACGCCAGUCUGCAUGGAGCCGGCCUUGAAAUACCACCCUUUAAUGUUUGAUGUUCUAACGUGGACCCGUAAUCCGGGUUGCGGACAGUGUCUGGUGGGUAGUUUGACUGGGGCGGUCUCCUCCUAAAGAGUAACGGAGGAGCACGAAGGUUGGCUAAUCCUGGUCGGACAUCAGGAGGUUAGUGCAAUGGCAUAAGCCAGCUUGACUGCGAGCGUGACGGCGCGAGCAGGUGCGAAAGCAGGUCAUAGUGAUCCGGUGGUUCUGAAUGGAAGGGCCAUCGCUCAACGGAUAAAAGGUACUCCGGGGAUAACAGGCUGAUACCGCCCAAGAGUUCAUAUCGACGGCGGUGUUUGGCACCUCGAUGUCGGCUCAUCACAUCCUGGGGCUGAAGUAGGUCCCAAGGGUAUGGCUGUUCGCCAUUUAAAGUGGUACGCGAGCUGGGUUUAGAACGUCGUGAGACAGUUCGGUCCCUAUCUGCCGUGGGCGCUGGAGAACUGAGGGGGGCUGCUCCUAGUACGAGAGGACCGGAGUGGACGCAUCACUGGUGUUCGGGUUGUCAUGCC
RNAcentral lists this ribosomal RNA (686 nucleotides) under Salmonella enterica. RNAcentral's name for it is "partial 23S ribosomal RNA". It matches the Rfam family "Bacterial large subunit ribosomal RNA", at positions 2045 to 2730 of the family's 2925-position model. Lineage: Bacteria; Pseudomonadati; Pseudomonadota; Gammaproteobacteria; Enterobacterales; Enterobacteriaceae. The record is from RNAcentral.